AUUGAACGCUGGCGGCAGGCCUAACACAUGUAAGUCGAGCGGCAGCGACUUAACUGAACCUUCGGGGAAUGUUAAGGGCGGCGAGCGGCGGACGGGUGAGUAAUGCCUGGGAAUAUGCCCUGAUGUGGGGGAUAACUAUUGGAAACGAUAGCUAAUACCGCAUAAUCUCUUCGGAGCAAAGAGGGGGACCUUCGGGCCUCUCGCGUCAGGAUUAGCCCAGGUGGGAUUAGCUUGUUGGUGAGGUAAUGGCUCACCAAGGCAACGAUCCCUAGCUGGUCUGAGAGGAUGAUCAGCCACACUGGAACUGAGACACGGUCCAGACUCCUACGGGAGGCAGCAGUGGGGAAUAUUGCACAAUGGGGGAAACCCUGAUGCAGCCAUGCCGCGUGUGUGAAGAAGGCCUUCGGGUUGUAAAGCACUUUCAGUAGGGAGGAAGGUAGUGUAGUUAACACCUGCAUUAUUUGACGUUACCUACAGAAGAAGCACCGGCUAACUCCGUGCCAGCAGCCGCGGUAAUACGGAGGGUGCGAGCGUUAAUCGGAAUUACUGGGCGUAAAGCGCAUGCAGGCGGCCUGUUAAGUCAGAUGUGAAAGCCCGGGGCUUAACCUCGGAAUUGCAUUUGAAACUGGCAGGCUAGAGUCUUGUAGAGGGGGGUAGAAUUUCAGGUGUAGCGGUGAAAUGCGUAGAGAUCUGAAGGAAUACCAGUGGCGAAGGCGGCCCCCUGGACAAAGACUGACGCUCAGAUGCGAAAGCGUGGGGAGCAAACAGG
Molecule: ribosomal RNA, 769 nt
Filed under: uncultured bacterium
Lineage: Bacteria
Description: bacterial SSU rRNA
Rfam family: Bacterial small subunit ribosomal RNA
Source: RNAcentral